Molecule: ribosomal RNA, 253 nt
Filed under: uncultured bacterium
Lineage: Bacteria
Description: partial 16S ribosomal RNA
Rfam family: Bacterial small subunit ribosomal RNA
Source: RNAcentral
UACGUAGGGUGCAAGCGUUAAUCGGAAUUACUGGGCGUAAAGCGUGCGCAGGCGGUUUUGCAAGACAGUUGUGAAAUCCCCGGGCUCAACCUGGGAACUGCAUUUGUGACUGCAAGGCUGGAGUGCGGCAGAGGGGGAUGGAAUUCCGCGUGUAGCAGUGAAAUGCGUAGAUAUGCGGAGGAACACCGAUGGCGAAGGCAAUCCCCUGGGCCUGCACUGACGCUCAUGCACGAAAGCGUGGGGAGCAAACAGG